UACGAAGGGGGCUAGCGUUACUCGGAUUGACUGGGCGUAAAGGGCGCGUAGGCGGCUUGUACAGUCAGACGUGAAAUUCCUGGGCUCAACCUGGGGGCUGCGUUUGAUACGUGCGGGCUUGAGUUCGGAAGAGGGUCGUGGAAUUCCCAGUGUAGAGGUGAAAUUCGUAGAUAUUGGGAAGAACACCGGUGGCGAAGGCGGCGACCUGGUCCGAUACUGACGCUGAGGAGCGAAAGCGUGGGGAGCGAACAGG
RNAcentral lists this ribosomal RNA (253 nucleotides) under uncultured bacterium. RNAcentral's name for it is "partial 16S ribosomal RNA". It matches the Rfam family "Bacterial small subunit ribosomal RNA", at positions 524 to 776 of the family's 1533-position model. The record is from RNAcentral.